ACGCCAGACUCCUACGGGAGGCAGCAGUGGGGAAUAUUGGACAAUGGGCGAAAGCCUGACCCAGCAAUGCCGCGUGAAUGAAGAAGGUCUUAGGAUUGUAAAAUUCUGUCCUAUGGGAAGAAACAAAUGACGGUACCAUAGGAGGAAGCCCCGGCUAACUACGUGCCAGCAGCCGCGGUAAUACGUAGGGGGCAAGCGUUAUCCGGAUUUACUGGGUGUAGAGGGAGCGUAGACGGCAUGGCAAGUCAGAUGUGAAAGGCCGGGGCUCAACCCCGGGACUGCAUUUGAAACUGUCAGGCUGGAGUGCAGGAGAGGUAAGUGGAAUUCCUAGUGUAGCGGUGAAAUGCGUAGAUAUUAGGAGGAACACCAGUGGCGAAGGCGGCCUGCUGGACGAUGACUGACGUUGAGGCUCGAAAGCGUGGGGAGCAAACAGGAUUAGAUACCCCAGUAACA
This 453-nucleotide ribosomal RNA is filed under the name uncultured bacterium. Its description in RNAcentral is "bacterial SSU rRNA". It matches the Rfam family "Bacterial small subunit ribosomal RNA", at positions 328 to 795 of the family's 1533-position model. The record is from RNAcentral.